RNAcentral lists this ribosomal RNA (617 nucleotides) under Cladonia humilis. RNAcentral's name for it is "eukaryotic LSU rRNA". The stretch from base 251 to 404 matches the Rfam family "5.8S ribosomal RNA". Lineage: Eukaryota; Fungi; Ascomycota; Lecanoromycetes; Lecanorales; Cladoniaceae. The record is from RNAcentral.
AUGAGGUCGGGGAGGCCAGCCCCCGUGGCGAGCGGGUGUCGUGUCGAGUCCAUUCGGGCUUGAGCCGGCAGUCGUCCGUUAAUUCUCAACCCCAUGUUUACUAUACCUUUGUUGCUUUGGCGGGCCUUGAGUAGGCUAUACGGCUCAUGCCGGCCUCAGGCUUCAAUGCCUUGAGGGCGGCUCGCGUCCGCCAGAGGUUUUAUUCAAAUCCCAAUUAUCAGUGAUGUCUGAGCAAAUAUUAAAUAAUCAAAACUUUCAACAACGGAUCUCUUGGUUCUGGCAUCGAUGAAGAACGCAGCGAAAUGCGAUAAGUAAUGUGAAUUGCAGAAUUUAGUGAAUCAUCGAAUCUUUGAACGCACAUUGCGCCCCUCGGUAUUCCGGGGGGCAUGCCUGUUCGAGCGUCAUUACACCCCUCAAGCGUAGCUUGGUAUUGAACUUUUCGCGGGCACUCUUACAAGGGCUCGCGGGUUCGAAAAGCAGUGGCGGUCCCCGAGGAUUUCGCGCGUAGUAAAUUUUAUCCCGCGUUGGAAAGAAUCGAUGGGUCUUGCCAAAACCCCCUAAUCUCCAUAAAUUGACCUCGGAUCAGGAGGGAUACCCGCUGAACUUAAGCAUAUCAU